RNAcentral lists this long non-coding RNA (606 nucleotides) under Homo sapiens (human). RNAcentral's name for it is "non-protein coding lnc-CADM1-10:1". The record is from RNAcentral. Lineage: Eukaryota; Metazoa; Chordata; Mammalia; Primates; Hominidae.
AUGGGUGCAUACAAAUACAUCCAGGAGCUAUGGAAGAGGCAGUCUGAUGUCUUGCACUUUCUUCUGAAGGUCGGCUGUUGGCAGUACUGCUGGCUCUCUGCUCUGCACAGGAAUCCCCACCCCACCUGGCCUGAUAAAGCAUGCCAACUGGGCUACAAGGCCAAGCAAAGUUACAUUAUAUAUAGGAUUUGUAUGCGCCAUGGUGGCCAAAAAUGCCCAGUUCCUAAGGGUGCAACUUAUGGCAAGCCUGUCGACCAUGAUGUUAACCAGCUAGGGUUUGCUUGAAGCCUUCAGUCCACUGCAGAGGAGUAAGCUGGACACCACUGUGGAGCUUUAAGAGUCUUGAAUUCUAACUGGGUUGGUGAAGAUUCCACGUACAAAUUUUUGGAGGUUAUCCUAAUUGAUCCAUUCCAUAAAGCUAUCAGAAGAAAUCCUGACACCCAGUGAAUCACCAAACCAGUUCGCAAGCACAGGGAGAUGCAUGGGUUGACAUCUGCAGGCUGAAAGAGCCAUGGCCUUGGAAAGGGCCAUAAAUUCCACCACACUCUUGGUGGUUCUCGCUGGGCAACUUGGAGAAGGCACAAUACUUUCCAGCUCUACCGUUAC